This 293-nucleotide long non-coding RNA is filed under the name Elaeis guineensis (African oil palm). Its description in RNAcentral is "long non-coding RNA (EGUI_LNC014217)". Lineage: Eukaryota; Viridiplantae; Streptophyta; Magnoliopsida; Arecales; Arecaceae. The record is from RNAcentral.
ACCCGAUUGCCACCCCUAAAGAGAUUAGGAUACAAAUGCCAUUAGGUAGUUUAAUAGGCUUGGUGCCAAGACACUCAAUGAUAUUUGUCAUAUUAGAGCGAUUGGGGGCCAUAUGAUCUAAAGCUCUACUAUCUAUAACCCCUUUAUUAGAUUCAAGAAAAGUAUGAUUGCAUAAUCACUGACCAAUAAGAUUAGCUUGAGGUAAUUGUUUGUCUUAGUUAAAGAGACUUAUGAGUUGUUUGUAUUGAUUAGUAGUUAACCCAGACAUGAUAGAAGCUUCAGUAUCCUCACUA